ACUGAAAUAUCCACUUUACAACAUGAGGGCUACUAAAACGUGCUAUGUGAUUCCGUAGUAUGUUAAUCUUGGUAAAAAGCAUUCUUUGGUGUUGUUAAAUACACUUCUGUCACACAUACGCUUUGGUGUGUGUGUUUUAGUUUUAGCAAAGCGGACUUCACUUCUUUGGGGUUUGUGUUUUGCCAAGCCACAUAGUGUCAUUUCAGGAAGUAUGAUUGACACUUUAACAACAGUAAAAACAUCCAGUCGCCUACUCCUCCAUGGGAGCUCUGCCUUGGGUCAAAUGGGGAGGCCGCCCCGCAUCGCUCGCCAUACGCAAGUUGAACCAGACAAAUAGGGAAAAGAAACCCAAAUGAUAGGGGUCCAAAAGAAAAGAAAAUACAUUGGGCGACAAUAACCCUAUCGUGUCUGGCGAUGCGUCCGGACAUGGUCUGCAGGUGGAUAAUGUGUUCAGUUUAAAUGAUAGCAUUGGAGAGGCCAUAAGGAUAUCAACCAUUUGGAUUUCACGACCACAUCCUCUUGGCCACACAUGUUAUCCUAGACGAAUAUUUAAUUUACAAAGUAAACUUCAUCACAUGCUAUUUCUUAUAAUUUUUAUUCGUUCUUUUGUAUUUUAUUAAUUCGGCCAACCUAUUAAUAAAGCUUCAGAAAGGCCGGUUGAACAUCUUAUGUUUAUGCCGAUAAUUCAUCAUUUUUUGGUAAUAUCUUUCUUUUAUAUAAUUUACAAAUUUAACAUGGAUUGACCUUUCUUGCUUAAUACCAAUGUUUUCCGUUUAAUAAGUAUGGUUGAUAGUACUAUUUCUCUUAUUUUCAAUCGAAAAGGCAGCACUAUAAAAUUUUCAUGAGAAAACAAAUGACAACACUAUUACUUAGGUAGGUGUUAAAUAAAUAGUAUUGCCUCAAUUUUGUAGCAGUAGAGACGAAGCCACGUUGAAAAAAGUGUGGUCAAUUGACCACACAGGUUUAUAGCAAAUCCUUUGUUCACAAAUAGAUAUCAUGUAUUACUUUUCAUAAAUUUAGUUAAAAACACAUGUACUUGACCGUAGAGAUUUAAAAUGACAUCACAGGCUUAUGAUCCUGGCACCGCCAUCGAGUAGAGUACAAUAAGCCCCUAAAGUCCCCAUACCAAAUGUAGCCACAUGAUAUACUAAUAUAUAUUAUUAGUUCAUAAAAUAUUGGUUGUACUAAUUGUUCACUUGUUUAUUUUUCUAAAGAAUGAUAUUUAACAGGAAAAGGAUAUAUGUGAUGUUAGCGGAAGGAAAUCUGGGAGUAACCAAGUUUGGUGGCCUUGCGAGACGAUAUUUAUUUUUCGCACGAGGACACAUUGCUGUUGCUCAUGGUUUGUGUGUCCUUGAUGCUGCAAAUUUCCCCGUGGUUCCUAGUCCCUGCGGUUGGGCCUCUCGCCACCGCAGUCCUCCGUCCUUCCACUAAAACAUGAACCGAACUCCAAGCGCAUUCUUUGGUGACUCAGCUUGCGACUAGACUAUCUGGGUUGCCACCGGCCAAGAAGGCAGGCGAGUGGGGAGGAGGCUUUACUGGCUCGAUUACUGGACUAGUGUUCUUGUUCAUGCCCCGAAAUUACAGUGUGAUGGGCUUAUAUACUGCCUCGUGUGGUGGUGGUGGUGUUGGGGUACGUCGCAUGGGAAACAAAAAAUUUCCUACGCGCACGAACACUAGUAGAAAACAGGGCAUUUAGCCAACCACAUUGGACCCGGAUUGGAUAUAAACCGGUUCUAAAGGGUCUGUCCGCUGGGCCCCCUCCCUGCAGCAAAUGGCCGCAAGGCCUUUAGGACCGGUUUGUAACACAAACCGGUCCUAAAGGUUUUUGGACCGUUUGCUGCAGGGAGGGGGCCCAGUGGACAGACCCUUUAGAACUGGUUUGUAUCACAAACCGGUGCUAGAGGUUUUCUCAUUUUUGCAGCAACUGCGGGGCCCCGCUGUCAGACCCUUUAGCACCGGUUUUUGUACACAAACCGGUCCUAAAGCCCUCCUCUCCUUCCUCCCCGAGCACCCCUAUAUUCCACCCCAUUUUUUCUAGCUCCAUUUUUUCUAGCUCGAGCUCAACUCCAUUUUUGCUCUCUCCUUCCUCUUGGGAGCUCUAAUCCAUCCCCAUUUUUCUCCACCAUUUGUCAAGAUUGUUGGCACCCAUCGGUCCUACGGUUAGCAUCAACAUUCCCUCUUCCGGUAUUGCAAGUUUUGCUCGUUUUCUUGCUCAUUUCAUUUUUGUUGUGCUAGCUAGGUGUUUGAUGAAAUGCCUAAGCUAGAGAGAGUUCAUCAUUUGUUAUGUAUACAUAUGCAAUUUGAGCUCAAAUUUAAUUAUGAUUUAUGGUUUUUUUUAGUGUCGCGCGCCUUGUCCCCUUCCUCACCGCCGUCGAUCGCCCCGUCACCGACACAACCUUGGUGAGCCUAUUGUUUUUAUUUACCAAAACAAAUUUUGAUUUGUAUGAUUUACAUAUUUACUUGUAUAUAAUUUUCUUAUUGUGUAAGAUUUUUUUAUAUGUAUAGCGCCAUGGUUUUGAUAUCCGUCCCCGUUGGCCCUCGUCCAGUCUAUGAUUCGGAUGUGGUAUAUUAUCUUUUAUAACUACAUAUUUUCAUUUCCUGAUUAUAUGACAAUUAAUUACGCUGACCAACUUGACAUAGAUAUUUUUAUCUAGGAGGUAGUGGAACCGGAAACGCCAAUCGACCCUAUUGUUGAGAAGUUACACUUAGUUGAACAAGAAAAUGUUGGCCUGAAAGAAAGAUUGAAAAAAACUGAAGAAAGGUUGGAAAAAACUGAAAGAGAGAAGAUGACCUUGGAAAAGGUUCUUACCGGUGUCGUCGAUGGUCACAAGAGCGAGAUGGACGCAAUGCGUGUGAAGAUUAGAAAGAUUAGAAAAUAUGCAAUUAGUAAAGAGGCUUGGUAUCAUUAUGCCGUCGGGUCAAUUGUUACCUUUGUUGCGAUUUUGAUCGCAUUUGUUGUUGUUUUUAAAUGCAUUAAUUAGAGAGAGUUUUUAUGGUUGGUUUCAGUGUGUGUUUUUAUGAGAACUAUAUAUGUAUGGUCACUACGCUACUUUGGUUUUAACGUGUGAUGAACUUUGUAUUAAUUAAUUAAUUUAGUCAUGAUGAUUUAGCAUAAUGGUUUUUGAUAAAUUUAUAUAAUGCAGAUGAACCGGCAAUGGAUGUACAGUGAUCGACGUCGUCCCGAAUUCCUUAAUAGCAUCCAUAGUUUUCUCAAUGUGGCUGAGAAAAACAGGCAGAAUGGAUUUAUUUUUUGUCCAUGUAAAAAAUGCCAGAAUAAGAGGAAUUUCCCUAACUCAAGAACCAUACACACCCACCUGUUGCAAGAAGGCUUCAUGCCAAGUUAUUUUUGUUGGACCAAGGACGGAGAAAGAGGGGUUGUAAUGGAAGACAAUGAAGAAGAAGAGGAUAAUGAUAACUAUCCUAUGUUCGGUGAACACGGUGAUACUGAAAUGGGGGAAGACGAGCCUGAACUUGAGGACAUUGUUGAUGAGUCUAAUGAUGAUCUUCGUCAGGUCAUUCGUGAAGAACAGAUAAACUGCGGAAGUGAAAACGAGAGGUUGAAGUUGGAGCGCAUGUUAGAAGAUCACAAAAAAUUGUUGUACCCAAAUUGCGAAGAUGGCCAGAAAAAGCUGGGCACCACCCUGGAAUUGCUGCAAUGGAAGGCAGAGAAUGGAAUAUCUCACAAGGGAUUUGAAAAGCUGCUGAAAAUAAUGAAGAAGAUGCUUCCAAGAGAUAACGUGCUGCCCUGCAGUACGUACGAAGCAAAGAAGGUUGUCUGCCCUCUAGGAUUGGAAGUGCAUAAGAUACAUGCAUGCAUCAAUGACUGCAUCCUCUACCGCGGUCAUCACGAGAAUUUAAAUGCCUGUCCGGUAUGCGGUGCAUUUCGGUAUAAGAUCAGGCGAGAUGACCUUGGUGAUGUUGAGGGCGACGACCGCCCCAGGAAGAGGGUUCCUGCCAAGGUGAUGUGGCAUGCUCCUAUAAUACCACGGUUGAAACGUUUGUUCCGAAACAAAGAGCAUGCCAAGUUGCUGCGAUGGCACAAAGAAGACCGAAGGGAAGACGAUAUGCUGAGACAACCCGCUGAUGGGUCGCAGUGGAGAAACAUCGACGAUAAGUACGAGGACUUUGCACGUGACCCAAGAAACUUAAGGUUUGGUCUAAGUACAUAUGGCCUGAAUCCGUUUGGGGAGCAGAGUAGCAGUCAUAGCACCUGGCCCGUGACUCUAUGUAUCUAUAACCUUCCUCCUUGGUUAUGCAUGAAGCGUAAGUUCAUUAUGAUGCCAGUGCUUAUCCCAGGCCCGUCGCAACCCGGCAACAACAUUGAUGUGUACCUGAGGCCACUGGUUGAUGAACUUUUAGAGUUAUGGGCUGACGAAGGUGUACGUGUGUGGGACGAGUACAAACAGGAGGAAUUUGACCUACGAGGGUUGCUGUUUGUAACCAUCAAUGAUUGGUCCGCUCUUAGUAACAUCUCAGGACAGUCAAACAAGGGAUACAGCGCAUGCACACACUGUUUAGGCGAGACUGAAAGUAUACAUAUAGGCAAGAAUGUGUACCCGGGGCAUCGUCGAUUUCUUCCAGACAGGCAUCCCGUAAGAAAGAAAGGAAAGCAUUUCAAAGGCGAGGCAGAUACACGGAGGAAGCCAACCCUCCCUAAAGGUACUGAUAUAUAUGACAUGGUCAAAGAUAUAAAAGUAAUCUUUGGUAAGGGUCCUGGCGCACAAUCUGUUCCGAAUGACGCCGACAACCACGUAGCCAUGUGGAAGAAGAAAUCUAUAUUCUGGGAACUACCCUAUUGGAAAUUCCUAGAGGUUCGCUCUGCGAUCGACGUGAUGCACGUGACGAAAAAUAUUUGCGUGAACCUGCUAAACUUAUUGGGCGUGCAUGGGAAGAAGUCGAGAGAUACACCAAAAGCACGGCUGCACCACCAACGUAUGCACGAACGAGACGACCUGAUGAAUCGAGUGAAUUUCAAAGGUCCUGCCAGCUACGCUCUUACCAAGGAAGAGAAGGAGAUCUUUUUCCAAGUCCUGAGCAGUAUCAAGGUCCCGUCUGGCUACUCGUCGAACAUAAAAGGAAUACUAAACCUGGAAGAGAAAAAGUUCCAAAACCUAAAGUCUCAUGACUGCCACGUGAUCAUGACCCAGUUACUUCCGAUUGCAUUGAGGGGGCUUCUUCCAGAAAACGUGCGAGUACCCAUUGUGAAGCUAUGUGCAUUCCUCAACGCAAUUUCUCAGAAGGCAAUCGAUCCAGCAACUCUACCAAGUUUACAGAAGGACGUGGUCCAAUGUCUUGUCAGCUUCGAGUUGGUGUUCCCACCAACCUUCUUCAAUAUUAUGACACACCUCAUAGUUCACCUAGUCCAAGAGAUUUCCGUUCUCGGUCCUGUAUUCUUACACAAUAUGUUCCCCUUUGAGAGGUUCACGGGAGUCUUGAAGAAUUAUGUUAAAAACCGUGCUAGGCCAGAAGGAAGCAUGGUCAAGGGCUAUGGAACAGAGGAGGUCAUUGAGUUUUGUGUUGACUUUAUUCCUGACCUGAACCCGAUCGGUGUUCCUCAGUCGCGCCAUGAGGGGAGACUGCGUGGAAAAGGCAUGCUAGGAAAGAAAUCAAUAACAUGUAUGGACGAGCAAUCUUUCACUCAAGCACACUACACAGUUCUAGUUAAUUCCAGCUUGGCGGCUCCAUAUAUCCAGGAACACAAGGAUAUUUUAUGCUCGGAAUACCCGGAGCAACCUGAAGAUUUCAUUGCUAAAGAACACGCGAAGACUUUCGGCGGUUGGUUGCAAAGACGUCUCAUUAAUGACAACAUUGUUGAAGAUGAGCUAUACUUGUUGGCCAAGCAACCAUCUUCGACUGUAUUGACCUUUAAAGGGUACGAGAUAAAUGGUAACACAUUUUACACGGCAGACCAAGAUAAAAAGAGCACCAACCAAAACAGUGGCGUCCGGUUUGAUGCAAAAGACGACAAUGGGCAAAGGGUCACAUACUAUGGUUACAUAGAGCAGAUAUGGGAACUUGACUACGGACCUUCCUUUAAGGUCCCUUUGUUCUGGUGCAAAUGGUUCAACCUGUCAGGCGUGAAGGUAGACCCGAAGUACGGAAUGACAACAGUGGAUCAGAAGAAUCUUGGGUACGGCAAUGAUCAAUUCGUCCUAGCCAAUGAUGUGGCUCAGGUUUUCUAUGUGAAGGACAUGUCUAGCAGACCGAGAAAAAGAAAAGAUAAGGAAGCGAAUACAUCAGACGAUGAGCCAAGGCGCCACAUAGUUCUUUCAGGGAAAAGAAACAUCGUGGGAGUCGAGGACAAGACAGACAUGUCAGAAGAUUACAAUAAAUUUGAUGAAAUUCCUCCCUUCAAAGUCAAAGAUGAUCCAAGCAUCCCGUUAAAUGAUGAAGAUAGUCCAUGGUUACGGCGCAAUCAGAAGAAAGGCAAGAAGAAAAAUAGAUAGGGGAUGUUGUUGGUGAUGUGUAAUAAUGUAUUAAACCUUUUAUGUAAUUGUGUUGACCAUUUUAAUAAAUAUUAAAAAUUUGACCAGUUUCCACUAAAUUUGACCAUUUUGAUAAAUAUCAUUUUUAUUUUUUAAGUGUAAAAAUGACAUUUUGACAAUUUGUAAAUAAAUGUAAAAGAAAAACAGAAAAGGGAAACAAAAAAGAAAAAUAAAAGAAGAAACAGGAAAAAGAAAAAGGAAACAAAAAGAAAAAGAAAAUAGGAAACAGAAAAAAGGAAAAAAGAAAAAUAAAAGAAGAAACAGGAAAAAGAAAAAGGAAACAAAAAGAAAAAGAAAACAGGAAACAGAAAAAAGGAAAAAAGAAAAAUAAAAGAAGAAACAGGAAAAAGAAAAAGGAAACAAAAAGAAAAAGAAAACAGGAAACAAAAAAAAGGAAAAAAGAAAAAGGAAAAAAACCUUUAGGAACCGGUGUGUAACAACAUCCGGUCCUAAAGGUGGGUUCGGUUCGCGCCCGAAUUUUGGACCCUUUAGCACCGGUCUGUGUUAACAACCGGUGCUAAAGGGUCUUUAGCACCGGUUGUUAACACAGACCGGUGCUAAAGUGUCUAUACCUCUACGGGGUCGCCAACUUCUCGCCUUCCCGCGCGUCUCUCCUCGCCUUUUCUCCUCGCCGCCUCCUCGCCGCCGUCGCCUCCUCGUGCCGCCUCGUCGGCCGAUCCUCGCCGCCUCCUCGCCGCCUCCGCGCCGCCUCCUUGCCGUCGCCGCCUCGCUGUCGCCUCCUCGCCGUCGCCUCCGCGCCGCCUCCUCGCCGUCGCCUCCUCGCCGCCUCCGCGCCGCCUACUCGCCGUCGCCUCCUCGCGCCGCCUCGCCGCCUCCUCGCCGCCUCCGCGCCACCUCCUCGCCGUCGCCUCCUCGUGCCGCCUCGCCGGCCGAUCCUCGCCGCCUCCUCGCCGCAUCCUCGCCGCCUCCUCGCCGUCGCCUCCUCGCCGUCGCCUCCUCGCCGCGCCGUCGCCUCCUCGCCGGCCGAUCCUCGCGCGCCUCCUCGCCGCCGCCGCCUCCUCACCGCCGUCGCCUCCUCGCGCCUCCUCGUCGCCUCCUCGCCGCCUCCCCACUUCGUCUUCUUCACGUACGGUAUAUCGUCCAUAUUUUCGUAUAUCCAUAUUGUUGUAUGCUUGUAAUCAUAACGGCUCGAUUUAUAUUUUGUUGGCUGCUAUUUCAUAUAUCCAUAUUGUUGUAUGCUUGUAAUCAUAACGGCUCGAUUUGAAGCCGCCUUCAUCAUUUAUGUCGUUAAAGCGAGGAAGACGAUUCUAGUAGACUCACUUUUUCAGUCAACAUUCAAAACUUUCCGACGUACAAAUCCUAUAGACGAAGUCGGUCAACAUUCGUGCAACGUGAGGUGACUCCGACGAUUCCGUAAAACCCUAAACCGACGAUUCCGACGAUUCCGACGAUUCUGACGAUUCCGUAAAACCCUAAACCGACGAUUCCGACGAUUUCGUAAAACUUUCCGACGAUUACAAUUCUGUAAAACUUUCCUACGAUUCCGACGAUUCCAUAACUGCGGGGAAAGUUUCCGACGAUUCCGACGAUUCCGUAAAACUUUCCGACGAUUCCGUAAAACUUUGCGACGAUUACGACUCCGACGAUUCCGUAAAACUUUUCGUAAAAUUUCCGGUUCCGUAAAACUUUUCCGUAAAUAAUUUUGCUAAGUUAAAUUCUUGUUACUAGCAGGUGUUGAGCUAUGGAUCCCCAAGAACCACAUGAUCAGCACGCCGAUCAGCUCGCGGGAAUGGGUGAGGCGGAGAAGGAAAGAUACAUGUGCCAGAUGAUUUUUGAAGAUGCAACGGCCAUAUAUCAUGAUGACGACGGUGGGCAUGCGUUUAGCAAUCAAUUUUUGAACGACUCCGGUGACGGAGCUGAGAAUAUAGAAGAUGUAGUAGAUGCAGAAGUGCCCUCCGGAACAAACUCUGCCAAUGUAUAUCUCAAGUCACUGUUGACGCAACAAUUAAUGGGUAUUGCACUUACUAACGAAUCAUUAUUUUCCCGUUUAGGUGCCCUCCGGAACACCUAGCGCAGGUACUGAGACAAAGUCGAAACGAGGCCCGGCCGCAAGGUUGAAAGAUACUGCAAGGUACUCGAUCGAUAAAGUUGCUGCUGAUGGCAAACCACUGGAACCCCCAGAAACUUAUCGCAAAUUUGUAAAUCAGUGCGGAUUUGUUGUAAGAGACCUGGUCCCGAUCAACUUAAUAAAAUGGAAUAAGCCGAAGACCGGCGCCAACGUUGGAGCUACUUAUGUCGAUGACAGAUUGAAAAGAGUGCUUUGCGACACGGUCUGGCUAAAUUUCAGCGUAGCGGAAGAUAAGAAGAAGAAAGUCGAGGAGUGGCCUUUGAAGAAGAUGGCCACACAAUUCCAGAGGUGGAAGAAAGACUUGUGGAAGAAAUAUAAGGACGAAGAUCCAGUUUUCACUGGGCACCUAGUGAAGAUAAGAGACGCUUGGCCUGAUUUUAAGGCGUACAAGAAAUCAGGUGUCUUUACAUCCCGAUCAGCCACAAAUACGAAGAAUGCGAAGAAGAAGAAAUAUCACCAUAUUUUGGGGUCAGGUGGCUACAUGACUGCCCUGCCUAGGUGGCGACGCUAUGAAGAUGCGCCUCUGAAAAGAAAUAUCAUUCCACAGACACAUGACUGGCCCGAUAGGUCCAAGUUCUGGUUGUUCGCGCAUGGGGCAACAUUGGACGCUGAGACUGGGAUGAUUGUUGCGGAGGGACCAUGGUCGGAAAAAAUAAGACAAGUCGUAUCAGAUCUAGAGAAGGCAAUAGAAGCUGUUCAAAAAGGAACUUUUGUUCCCGAUAGAGAGAACGACGAGUUGACGAAGGCACUCGGGAACCCCGAAAAGUGGGGACGAACACGAGGCUUUCGAGCCACUACCCCGUGGAACCAAGGGUUUCCGGCGGACCUUGGCACUUACAGAAGCCGUGGUAGAAGCAAGAGGAAGGCGCUGGAACGGAUAUCGACAUUAGAAGAAAAGGUGGCGUUUCUCUUGAAGAAAGGGGGACACCCUGUACCUGACACUGAAGAGGAGGAAGAAGAUCCUGCACCUGACGCUGAUCAGCAGCAAUUAGAAGACGAUCCUGUAGCAGAUGCCGUCCCAUCUCAGCAUAGAAGCAGCGUGGGUUCCACGCAGCUGCAGCUAGAAGACGGUCCUGCAGUCGAACCGUCGGCGCCUCACUACCCCGUGGAUGAUGUCACGGAGAAGACAAACUGUGAGAUACAUAUGCCAAUGGGGAACAUAUCCUUCAUGGUGGCGUCAGGCUAUGCUUUACCGAAUCAACCUGGAGCAACCUACCAUGGUGGUCAGAUUCCAGCAUCCCAUGCUCGUGUCGGGUUGUCAACAAUUACGCCGGGAUGCCAGUCAAUUGAGCUUGAUAUUCCUGGAGGUGAAGGCGAGAAGACACUGGGAGAAAUGGAGCUUGGUAUCAUCUUGUGGAAGAAGAAACACAUCGUGUUUCCUAACGCGGCGCCAAGGCCACCGACUCCUCCAGGUACAAAUGCACCACCUCCAACAAUUACUGAAUGUUGCACCACAUGUAAGCCUAUUUUUAAUAGUUUUUUCACUUUCGUACACAGAAUGCACGACCUCCAAGUCCACCCCCCAACGCACCUCCAAGUCCACCCCACAACGAAGAUAGGGAGCCCGAGGCCGAGAGUCCAUCGCCCGUGCACUCCAGUGAGCCGACGGAUGCGCCCACUACGGGUACGGCAAAGCGGAAGCUGCAGUUCACAAGAAACGGGACUCCUCCCAAGAAGAGAGAAAGGAAACCCAAUAAAGUCAAGACUCCCCCGAAGUUACCAGGCCUGAUGACUCCGGAGGAACUAGACGAGGCCGUGAAAGCCAAAAACAAAGCAUGGUUCGCACGGUUUCCCCGGAAGCCCCCUCCAGACAUCUGGAAGGAAACUCUGAAGAACGUACCAAAGUGGAAAAUUGAGCGCACCAUCGACAACUUAUAUUAUCCUGAACCGCCGCCACCGCCGCCCCUUUCAGACUAUGAACGGUUCAUUGAAAAGAUGCACACCGCACAGAUGAAGCAGGCGGAGCAGAUGAAGCAGGCGGAGCAGACGAAAUGCGGGAAACAAGUUCCCCAGCUCGGACAACAAGAAGCACAGUCAAUUGCCCCGCUCAAGGUGUUAUCUGACCAGGCUUCAGUGUCCGGUCCACGCAUGGGCGACGUAGGUUACGCUAUUGCUGAUGUGGUAUAUAAAUAUAAGCCCGAGCACCCUCUGGUCGAAAAUCCUAGUGCUCUAACAACCCAACUAUGGAAUUUACAUGGUUGGUACUUGGAGGCCGCAAGGCAAAAGAGAGACUGUAUCAUGGCGGCAGUUCAGGAUCAACACUACUUCGGAGAGUACGGUGUGGAGGUUGGGUUCGAUGAUUUUUUUCCAGAUGUACAAUCAACGUGCCCUCGACAAAGCUAUCGUCAGCUGCUACUUUUUGUAAGUGAUUUAUUUGUGUAAUUUAAUUAUUUAGUUAAGCUCGCGUUCAUUGCCCGUAUAAUUAUCACUCACGAGACAUUCUUUUUGUACGCUACUAUGCAGAAUGAAGAUUCGUGAAUGCAGGCUGGCAGGAAUCUGGGACUUUGGGUUCAUUGACCCGUAUUCGUUUCAUCAAGAGACAAUAGAAAAGUUCAACAAGGAUACACCGGAUGAUUUGCUAAGGUUUUUGAAGCGACAAAGUACCAAAAAAGAAAUACUUUGGCCCUACGCAUUCAAGUGAGUGUUACUGUCUUGUACACAUUCCAUUUUGCUUACCUGAUGUUAAGUAUAAUUGAUGAGUAUGCAUGACUGCGUGUGUACACGUGCGCAGGUCCCACUUCAUAUUUUUCAUCAUUAGAAUCGAUCAAGGACAAGUUGAAGUCUGGGACCCGUUAACCUGGGACGCUGACAAAUGGAAGAGCGCGCGUCAGAUGCUUCAAAGGUAUAUAUAUAUCGGCCUCUUUCGUUCAUCGGCCUCUUUUUCGUUCAUUUCCUGAUAUCAAGUAAGUAAUAAUUAACUCUUGUAUUUAUUUUUCUUUGUCGGCCAGGGUUUGGCAAAUGUUCAUCAAGGAAGAACCCGGUACAUGGGCAGACAAGAUCCACUUUCAGAUUAACAAAGUAAGUAGUACUACGUACCCUGGUUUCAAUACCAUUACCAUUCUCUUGAUUAUUAUUAAUUUGACUGAAUUAUGUUCUCGUAUAUAGGGCGUCCCGCAACAACCACAGGGCACUGAUUAUUGUGGAUACUACGUUUGCGAGUACAUUCACUGGAUUAUCAAUGAAAAUCCCGUACUUCCAGAAAUAUAGAGGUACGUAACCGGAUCUUCACAACUUUAUUUAUGUUGCCAUCAAUUAUGUUAGUUUUGUUCAUAACUUAAUUGUUUUCAUCUACUUCUUUUAAAGCUGCAACGAAAGCGGACGAUGCUAAGACCAAUCCAACGUUGCAAGGCAGUUGCAGAGGAAUUGGCAGGAUUUCUCCUCACGCAAGUCAUAGAUGAAGGCGGAGAAUUUUUCCAUCCUAUGAACCAAUAGCCAGCUCCCUUCUCUAUGCAAGUAUAGAGCUAUAGGAAACGAACUUCAAAUUAUGUAAUGAUAAUCGGUCCAGUACUUAGUGUUACAUGUAUAUAUGUACUUUUAUUUGGUGCAUCAACAUUUAACCGCAAACACAGAAUCGGAAACACUUAACCGCAAACACGGAAUCGGUGUUUCCGAAUACGUGUUUCCGAUUCCGUGUUCGUAAAAAACAGAACACGGACACACGGAAUCGGAAAGACGUAAACGGAAAUACGGAACCGGAAACACGGAAUCGAAAAGACGUAAACGGAAAUACGGAACCGGAAACACGUAAACGAAAACCCUGAAAAUACGGAACACGGGAACACCGAAAUACGGAAUCGGAAACCCUGAAAAGAAAAGAAAAAAAAAGAAAAAAAAAGCAUUAGGACCGGUNGAAGACCUAUCAUGGUGAUGUCCAUCUACGAGAGGGGAUGUGUGAUCUACGUACCCUUGUAGACCGUACAGCAGAAGCGUUAGUGAACGCGGUUGAUGUAGUGGAACGUCUUCACGUCCCUCGAUCCGCCCCGCGAACAGUCCCACGAUCUAGUGCCGAACGGACGGCACCUCCGCGUUCAGCACACACACAGCUCGACGGUGAUCUCGGCCUUCAUGAUCCAGCAAGAGAGACGGAGAGGUAGAAGAGUUCUCCGGCAGCGUGACGGCGCUCCGGAGGUUGGUGAUGAUCUUGUCUCAGCAGGGCUCCGCCCGAGCUCCGCAGAAACGCGAUCUAGAGGUGAAACCGUGGAGAUAUGUCGUCGGGCUGCCGUGGCAAAGUUCUCUCAAAUCAGCCCUAAAAACCCCACUAUAUAUAGGAGGAGGAGGGGGGAGACUUGCCUUGGGGUCCAAGGACUCCCAAGGGAGUCGGCCGAGCCAAGGGGGAAGGUCUCCCCCUCCCAAACCGAAAUCUACUUGGUUUGGAAGGUGGAGUCCUUCUUCCCUUUCCCACCUCCUUCUUUUUUUUUCCUUUCCUCUUUGAUUUUCUUUCCUAUGCGCAUAGGCCUCUCUUGGGCUGUCUCACCAGCCCACUAAGGGCUGGUGCGGCACCCCAAACACCCAUGGGCUUCCACGGGGUGGGUGGGCCCCCCCGGUGAACUCCCGGAACCCAUUCGUCAUUCCCGGUACAUUCCCGGUAACUCCGAAAACCUUCCGGUAAUCAAAUGAGGUCAUCCUAUAUAUCAAUCUUCGUUUCCGGACCAUUCUGGAAACCCUCGUGACGUCCGUGAUCUCAUCCGGGACUCCGAACAACAUUCGGUAACCAACCAUAUAACUCAAAUACGCAUAAAACAACGUCGAACCUUAAGUGUGCAGACCCUGCGGGUUCAAGAACUAUGUAGACAUGACCCGAGAGACUCCUCGGUCAAUAUCCAACAGCGGGACCUGGAUGCCCAUAUUGGAUCCUACAUAUUCUACGAAGAUCUUAUCGUUUGAACCUUAGUGCCAAGGAUUCAUAUAAUCCCGUAUGUCAUUCCCUUUGUCCUUCGGUAUGUUACUUGCCCGAGAUUCGAUCGUCAGUAUCCGCAUACCUAUUUCAAUCUCGUUUACCGGCAAGUCUCUUUACUCGUUCCGUAAUACAAGAUCCCGCAACUUACACUAAGUCACGUUGCUUGCAAGGCUUGUGUGUGAUGUUGUAUUAUCGAGUGGGCCCCGAGAUACCUCUCCGUCACACGGAGUGACAAAUCCCAGUCUUGAUCCAUACUAACUCAACGAACACCUUUGGAGAUACCUGUAGAGCAUCUUUAUAGUCACCCAGUUACGUUGCGACGUUUGAUACACACAAAGCAUUCCUCCGGUGUCCGUGAGUUAUAUGAUCUCAUGGUCAUAGGAACAAAUACUUGACACGCAGAAAACAAUAGCAACAAAAUGACACGAUCAACAUGCUACGUCUAUUAGUUUGGGUCUAGUCCAUCACAUGAUUCUCCUAAUGAUGUGAUCCCGUUAUCAAGUGACAACACUUGCCUAUGGCCAGGAAACCUUGACCAUCUUUGAUCAACGAGCUAGUCAACUAGAGGCUUACUAGGGACAGUGUUUUGUCUAUGUAUCCACACAAGUAUUGUGUUUCCAAUCAAUACAAUUAUAGCAUGGAUAAUAAACGAUUAUCAUGAACUAAGAAAUAUAAUAAUAACUAAUUUAUUAUUGCCUCUAGGGCAUAUUUCCAACGGUCCCCCACUUGCACUAGAGUCAAUAAUCUAGUUCACAUCACCAUGUGAUUUAAACGAAUCCAACACCCAUAUAGUUCUGGGGUCAGGUCACGUCUUGCUCGUGAGAGAGGUUUUAGUCAACGGUUCUGAAACUUUCAGAUCCGUGCGUUCUUUACAAAUCUUUAUGUCAUCUUAUAGAUGCUGCUACUACGUGCUAUUCGGAAAUGCUCCAAAUAUCUACUCUACUAUACGAAUCCGUUUCACUACUCAUAGUUAUUCGGAUUAGUGUCAAAGCUUGCAUCAACGUAACCCUUUACGACGAACUCUUUAACCACCUCCAUAAUCGAGAAAAAUUCCUUAGUCCAUUAGUUACUAAGGAUAAAUUUUGACCGCUGCUAGUGAUUCAAUCAUGGAUCACUCUCUGUACCUCUCAACAGACUUUGAGUCGAGGCACACAUCAGGUGUGGUACACAGCAUGACAUACUUUAGAUUCUACGGCUAAGGCAUAGAAGACGACCUUCGUCUAUCCUCUUUAUUCUGCCGUGGUCGUGUUUUGAGCCUUACUCAAAUUUACACCUCACAAUGCAACCAAGAACUCUUUCUUUGCUGAUCUAUUUUGAACUCCUUCAAAAACUUGUCAAGGCAUGCAUCUUAUUGAAACUUUCAUUAAGCGCUUUUUGAUCUAUCUCCAUAGAUCUUUGAUGCUCAACGUUCAAGUAGAGCAAUCCAGGUAUUCCUUUGAAAAACUCCUUUCAAACAACCUUGUAUGCUUUACAUAAAUUCUACAUUACUUCUGAUCCACAAUAUGUUAACCACAUAUACUUAUCAGAAAUUCUAUAGUGCUCCCACGCACUUCUUUGGAAAUACAAGUUUCUCAUAAACCUUGUACAAACCCAAAAUCUUUGAUCAUCUCAUCAAAGUGUAUAUUCCAACUCCGAUAUGCUUGCACCAGUCCAUUGAAGGAUCGCUGGAUCUUGCAUACUUGCUAGUAUCUUUAGGAUCGACAAAACCUUCUGGUUGUAUCACAUACAAUGUUUGCUCAAGGAAACCGUCGAGGAAACAAUGUUUUGACAUCCUACAUGCAAUAUUUCAUAAAUAAUGCAUCAACAACUAACAUAAUUCUAACAGACCUUUAGCAUCGCUACGAGUGAGAAAGUCUCAUCAUAGUCAACUGUUUGAUCUUGUCCAAAACAUCUUUGCGACAAGUCGAGCUUUUCUUAAUAGUGACUUAUCACCAUCAUCGUCUGUCUUCUUUUAAAGAUCCAUUUUACUCAAUAGUCCUAUGACCAUCAAGUAGUUCUACCAAAGUCUACACUUUGUUUUCACACAUGGAUCCUCUCUCGGAUUUCAUGGCUUCUAGCCAUUUGUCGGAAUCUGGGCCCACCAUCGCUUUCUCCAUAACUCGUAGGUCCACUGUUGCUCAACAACAUGACCUCCAAGACAGGGUUAUCGUACCACUCUGUAGUAGUACGCGACCUUGUCAACCUACGGGGCUUGUAGUAACUUGAUCCGAUGCUUGAUGAUCACCAUCAUCAGCUUCCACUUCAAUUGGUGUAGGCGCCACAGGAACAACUUCCUGCGCCCUGCUACACACUGGUUGAAGUGAUGGUUCAGUAACCUCAUCAAGUUCUACUACCCUCCCACUCAAUUCUUUCGAGAGAAACCUUUCCUCGAGAAAGGAUCCGUUUCUAGAAACAAACACUUUGCUUUCGGAUUCGAGAUAGGAGAUGUACCCAACUGUUUUGGAUAUCCUGUGAAGAUGCAUUUAUCCGCUUUGGGUUCGAGCUUAUCAGACUGAAACUUUUUCACAUAAGUGUCGAAACCCCAAACUUUCAAGAAACGACAGUUUAGAUUUCUCUAAACCUCAGUCUAUACCGUGUCAUCUCAACGGAAAUACGCGGUGCCCUAUUUAAAGUGAAUUCGGUUGUCUCUAAUGCAUAACCCAUAAACGAUAGUGGUAAUUCGAUAAGAGACAUCACAGCAUGCACCAUACCAAAUAGUGCAUGACUAUGACGUUCAGAUACAUCAUCACACUAUGAUGUUCCGGGUGGCAUGAACUGCGAAACAAUUUCCACAUUUGUCUUAAGUGCGUACCAAAACUCGUAACUCAGAUAUUCAUUUCUAUGAUCAUAUCGUAGACAGUUUAUCCUCUUGUUACGACGAACUUCACUCUGAAACGGAAUUGAACUUUUCAAUAUUUCAGACUAGUGAUUCAUUAAGUAAAUACUCCUGUAUCUACUCAAAUCGUCAAUGAAGUAAGAACAUAAUGAUAUCCACUGCGUGCCUCAGCACCCAUUGGACUGCAUACAUCAGAAUGUAUCACUUCCAACAAGUUACUAUCUUGUUUCAUCUCAAUGAAAACAAGGCCCUGCUCAUGUGGUAUGAUUUGCAUGUCACUAGUGAUUCAAAAACAAGUGAGUACAAAGAUCCAUCAGCAUGGAGCCUCUUCAUGCAAUUUAUACCAACAUGACUCAAGCGGCAGUGCCACAAGUAAGUGGUACUAUCAUCAUUAACUCGUAUCUUUUGGCACCAAUAUCAUGAACAUGUGUAACACUACGAUCGAGAUUCAAUAAACCAUGGAAGGUGAUUAUUCAAGAAAAUAGAGUAACCAUUAUUCUCUUUAAAUGAAUAAUCGUAUUGCAAUAAACACGAUCCAAUCAUGUUCAUGCUUAACGCAAGCACCAAAUAACAAUUAUUUAGGUUUAACACCAAUCCCGAUGGUAGAGGGAGCGUGCGACGUUUGAUCAUAUCAACCUUGGAAACACUUCCAACACGUAUCGUCACCUCGCCUUUAGCUAGUCUCCGUUUAUGCCGUAGCUUUCAUUUCGUGUUACUAAUCACUUAGCAACCGAACCGGUAUCCAAUACCCUUAUGCUACUAGGAGUACUAGUAAAGUACACAUCAACAUCAUGUAUAUCUAAUAUACUUCUCUUGACUUUUGCCAGCCUUCUUAUCUACCAAGUAUCUAGAGUUGCUCCGCCUCAGUGACUGUUCCCCUCAUUACAGAAGCACUUAGUCUCGCGUUUGGGUUUAAUCUUGGGUCUCUUCAUUAGUGCAGCAACUGUUUUGCCGUUUCAUGAAGUAUCCCUUCUAGCCCUUGCCUUUCUUGAAACUUAGUGGUUUUACAAACCAUCAACUAUUGAUGCUCCUUCUUGAUUUCUACUUUCGUAGUGUCAAACAUCGCGAAUCGCUCAAGGAUCAUUGUAUGUAUCCUUGAUAUGUUAUAGUUCAUCACGACGCUCUCACAGCUUGGUGGCAGUGACUUUGGAGAACUAUCACUAUCUCAUCUGGAAGCUUAACUCCCACUUGAUUCAAGCGAUUCUCGUACUCAGACAAUCUGAGCACACGCUCAACGAUUGAGCCUUUCUCCUUUACUUUGUGGACAAAGAAUCUUGUCGGAGGUCUCGUACCUCUUAACAAGGGCACAAGCAUGAAAUCACAAUUUCAUCUCUUUAGAACAUCACUUAUGUUCCGUGACGUUUUACAACGUUUUCGGCGCCUUGCUUCUAAGCCAUUAAGUAUUUUGCACUGAACUAUCGUGUAGUCAUCAGAAACGUGUAUGUCGGAUAACAUGAUUCUCCUAAUGACGUGAUCCCGUUAUCAAGUGACAACACUUGCCUAUGGCCAGGAAACCUUGACCAUCUUUGAUCAACGAGCUAGUCAACUAGAGGCUUACUAGGGACAGUGUUUUGUCUAUGUAUCCACACAAGUAUUGUGUUUCCAAUCAAUACAAUUAUAGCAUGGAUAAUAAAAGAUUAUCAUGAACUAAGAAAUAUAAUAAUAACUAAUUUAUUAUUGCCUCUAGGGCAUAUUUCCAACAGGUGGCAGUGACGAGCUCGUUCAUCGUCGUGUACACCAAGCACGAGAGCUUGAGCUUGGGCACAGUGGCUUCGCUGGUGGUGUGUCGGGGUCGUGCUCGCCCU
Molecule: long non-coding RNA, 18091 nt
Filed under: Hordeum vulgare
Lineage: Eukaryota; Viridiplantae; Streptophyta; Magnoliopsida; Poales; Poaceae
Description: long non-coding RNA (HVUL_LNC006281)
Source: RNAcentral